RNAcentral lists this long non-coding RNA (293 nucleotides) under Ictidomys tridecemlineatus (thirteen-lined ground squirrel). RNAcentral describes it as "lncRNA (ENSSTOG00000033505.1)". Lineage: Eukaryota; Metazoa; Chordata; Mammalia; Rodentia; Sciuridae. The record is from RNAcentral.
CCACAGCACAAGAAGCAGGGUGAGAACAAGUGGAAAUUGACAAGCAGAAUGUGAUCCUAGAAGGACAAAUUGACUCAAAUAGUUUGAACACAUAUGAGACUCUUUCCUAUCAUUGCUGCACAGUUGCUUCCAGAUUACUCAAACUCCUUCUUCAAAGAAGAUUCAAAGUAUAAAGCAAAGAGGAGGAAAGAUGGACUCUUCCUUUGAAACUAAGCCCGACGCUAGUCGUAAAGGCAGAGUUCUUCAUGGUUUGUAAGUAGGCGUUCUAUUAAAAUGGCUUUUCAUUUCUGUUU